UACCAGACUCCUACGGGAGGCAGCAGUGGGGAAUAUUGCACAAUGGGGGAAACCCUGAUGCAGCGACGCCGCGUGAGUGAAGAAGUACUUCGUUAUGUAAAGCUCUAUCAGCAGGGAAGAAAAUGGCGGUACCUGAGUAAGAAGCCCCGGCUAACUACGUGCCAGCAGCCGCGGUAAUACGUAGGGUGCGAGCGUUAAUCGGAAUUACUGGGCGUAAAGGGUGUGCAGGCGGUUUUGCAAGAUGGAUGUGAAAGCCCCGGGCUUAACCUGGGAAGGCCAUACAAGACUGCAAGACUAGAGUGCGUCAGAGGGGGGUGGAAUUCCAAGUGUAGCAGUGAAAUGCGUAGAUAUUUGGAAGAACACCGAUGGCGAAGGCAGCCCCCUGGGACGCAACUGACGCUCAUACACGAAAGCGUGGGGAGCAAACAGGAUUAGAUACCCUGGUA
RNAcentral lists this ribosomal RNA (446 nucleotides) under uncultured bacterium. RNAcentral describes it as "bacterial SSU rRNA". It matches the Rfam family "Bacterial small subunit ribosomal RNA", at positions 329 to 792 of the family's 1533-position model. The record is from RNAcentral.